GAAAAGAAACCAACAGGGAAUGCUUAGUAGCGGCGAGUGAGCGGCAAAAGCUCAAAUUUGAAAUCUGGCGCCUUCGGUGUCCGAGUUGUAAUUUGAAGAUUGUAACCUUGGGGUUGGCUCUUGUCUAUGUUUCUUGGAACAGGACGUCACAGAGGGUGAGAAUCCCGUGCGAUGAGAUGCCCAAUUCUAUGUAAGGUGCUUUCGAAGAGUCGAGUUGUUUGGGAAUGCAGCUCUAAGUGGGUGGUAAAUUCCAUCUAAAGCUAAAUAUUGGCGAGAGACCGAUAGCGAACAAGUACAGUGAUGGAAAGAUGAAAAGAACUUUGAAAAGAGAGUGAAAAAGUACGUGAAAUUGUUGAAAGGGAAGGGUUUGAGAUCAGACUCGAUAUUUUGUGAGCCUUGCCUUCGUGGCGGGGUGACCCGCAGCUUAUCGGGCCAGCAUCGGUUUGGGCGGUAGGAUAAUGGCGUAGGAAUGUGACUUUACUUCGGUGAAGUGUUAUAGCCUGCGUUGAUGCUGCCUGCCUAGACCGAGGACUGCGAUUUUAUCAAGGAUGCUGGCAUAAUGAUCCCAAACCGCCCGU
This 578-nucleotide ribosomal RNA is filed under the name Meyerozyma guilliermondii. RNAcentral describes it as "eukaryotic LSU rRNA". It matches the Rfam family "Eukaryotic large subunit ribosomal RNA", at positions 56 to 652 of the family's 3401-position model. The record is from RNAcentral. Lineage: Eukaryota; Fungi; Ascomycota; Pichiomycetes; Serinales; Debaryomycetaceae.